Long non-coding RNA from Gossypium raimondii (Peruvian cotton), 430 nucleotides. RefSeq lists it as uncharacterized. The record is from RefSeq and is a predicted model, not a curated record. The transcript has 3 exons. NCBI's taxonomy places the organism in Eukaryota, Viridiplantae, Streptophyta, Magnoliopsida, Malvales, Malvaceae.
AAACAAAUGAAAUAAAAGAAUAGAAAAAGAGAAGAAGAACAGAAAAGAAACAGAGAAAGAGACGAAAACAGGGGAAGGGAAAGAAAAGAAAGGGGGAAAAUUGAGAUUUUGAAGCUUGAAGUUUAAUAGCUAAUAUCGAGCCUGAAGCAUCGGCCCAAAAAGGAAAAGAAAAGAUCGUCGAGGAUUAAAUCCGAAGAGAAUUCCGGUUGAAAAAAGGGUCAGAGUCUCGGUCCAGCAUCCAGGUCAAUCCCGACUCCUGCAUAGAGAUUCGGUGAUGUUUUUUUCCUUAAAUGAAAGUGGCAUGUACAUAAGAAUGAUAAUGGCUAUUUUGGUAUGUUAUAUAAUUUUGUUGUAAAGAAAGGUAUUUGAUGUUUUGAUGAUUAUAUUAGUAAAAUGGUAGAAGUUAUUUAUAACAUUGGUAUUGAGUUGA